GGCAGAGAGGACUCGCUCGCUUCGACCUCAGACGGACCGGUGUUGGGACACACAUGGGGGGCCUUGCAGCUCUCGGCCUGCUGCUGGCGUUCCCUCUGAGCUGCUCCCAGAGCACCCUGCAGUCUGAGCAGAUCGUCGCCCAUCGGGCCCCGGCAGCCCUUCCUCCUCCUCCUCCUCCUCCUCCUCCCCCGCCGCACAUCCACGACCUGCUCAGAAAAGAGGAAACCGCUCAUUUGAACACAAGGCGAACCUACGCCCGUGUAGACAAAGACAACGGCAGGGCGGGUCUGUUCAUCGCCGCCGCCAUGGGAACCUUCGCUCUGAUGGCCGCAGUCUACUGUAUCUACGACAAGUUCUACACCAAACAGCAGUACCUGCACACGCAGCUCAACGACGACUCAGAUUUAACCAUGGACCCCAUGGACCCUCCGCCCGUGUUUUUCUACGCCUCUCCCGGCUCCAGUGCGGUAGAUGUGCAGAGACGUGGUUACGGCUCGCUGUCCGACACCCCGUCCAUCAUCUCUGUGCCCCCCAGCCUGUCCCCCCCUCCCUCUGCCAUGCCCUUCCCUCCCUUCUUCCUCUCCUCUCACUCCCUGAGGACCAUAUCGGCCAGAGACCUGGAGAAGAGCUGUAUCUGACCUUCUGAUUGGAUGUUGUUUAAUAUGCACUUGGUUUUACCAUAUUCAUUGACAGCUUUCGUUUUUGCAGGCAAAUUACUUUGCUCACUAGAAAUUAAGGGACUUUUCCAGAUACUUGCUGCUGAUGGCAGAAGAAGCUCCACCUGCACCUCCCGCCCCAAACAUUUGUCUUUGCAUCUCCACGUAAUGUAAACACCUCCGUCCACAUUUGCAUAGCAACAUUAAACUCCACUCACAUUUAUUUCAUAGACACCAACAUUUCAGUGGUCGUUGAGUAUAUAAAAAAAUAAAAUGUUCCUGUUAUUAAAGAAAUGUUGUCUCGCUCAUUGCAGUCCCUAGUUAAAACCGGAUAUAAU
Molecule: long non-coding RNA, 994 nt
Organism: Gasterosteus aculeatus aculeatus (three-spined stickleback)
Lineage: Eukaryota; Metazoa; Chordata; Actinopteri; Perciformes; Gasterosteidae
Source: Ensembl